Molecule: non-coding RNA, 69 nt
Organism: Physeter macrocephalus (sperm whale)
Lineage: Eukaryota; Metazoa; Chordata; Mammalia; Artiodactyla; Physeteridae
Source: the annotation of a RefSeq genome assembly
GUAAAUAUAGUUUAAGAAAAACACUAGCUUGUGGAGCCAGUAAUAGAAGACUAAAACUUCUUAUUUACC